UCAUAAUUAUUAUUAUGUGAUUACACAGCCUACACACAUAUGAAAACCGUAGUGCAUAUACUACAAAAUCACAUUGGUAGGCUGGAAUUCAAAAUCUUGUGGAUACUGUGUUGAUGUGGCAUUCAAGUAAACAACAAACAGAAUUUUUACCAUUUGCAUCCUGUCUUAUGUAAGACUAUAGCUUCUAUCAAAUUACCCAUUUCCCCUCACCAAGAUGAAGUUGAGAAAGUGUGAAAGGUCCCACCACCAGAGUAUUUAUUAGUCCUACUCGUUCACCUGGAUAUUCAAGGAUCCACUGCUAAGGCAGAUGUUCUAGUAUCACUCAUUUGGCAUUGGCAUCCCAGGGCAGCUUGCCCUGAGCUAAGGGCAAUUUCUCAGUCUAGCAAUAAACAACUUGCUUUUAUCAAUCUUAUACCUAAUGUCCAGGCAUGCCUUCAGAAAGGGUGGAUUGCCUCAUAAUGGGCUGAGUUUAGUUGCUCAAAAUUUUAUUUUUGUAUGUGAGCCUUGAAAACUGUAAAAUUAUCUUCAAAGCUAACUUAAUGGUUUAAAAAACUGCCACUGAGACUCUUUUUCUCACCUUUCCUUUUCCUUUUUUCUCCUCCCUCCUCUCAAGGACUAUAUGUUGAAGAGGCAACCUGUCUAGGAUUUUGAAUGAUCUCUUCUCCCAACCACUAAGCUGCAUUGAUGAAUUCCUCCUGGUGCUUCUCAAAUACUGAGGAUGUUCUUCUUUCAUAGAAGAUGGAGACCUGGGAAGAGCCCCCCCUAACUGAAUGAAAAGAUGAGACUGAAGAUUCAAGCCCAGACUUGAAGUUCUCCCUGUUGCUGAAAGCUCACACUAAACUCUGACUCACAGUGAGAAAACCCAGCCUGCUCCUUCACAGAUUCCAGCCUUCCUGCAGUCUGGAACAGAAAUAGAAAUUCUCUAGUUGAUUUUUAAAAAUGCAGACAUUGCCAGGGAAACAUAUUGUAAAAACAUAUAAAAUGAAGUGAAUUGUAAACAUUCAAG
RNAcentral lists this long non-coding RNA (1006 nucleotides) under Marmota monax (woodchuck). The record is from RNAcentral. Lineage: Eukaryota; Metazoa; Chordata; Mammalia; Rodentia; Sciuridae.